UGGGGAAUAUUGGACAAUGGGCGAAAGCCUGAUCCAGCCAUGCCGCGUGUGUGAAGAAGGCCCUCGGGUUGUAAAGCACUUCCAGCGAGGAAGAACGCCUAGGGGUUAAUACCCCCUAGGAAAGACAUCACUCGCAGAAGAAGCACCGGCUAACUCCGUGCCAGCAGCCGCGGUAAUACGGAGGGUGCAAGCGUUAAUCGGAAUUACUGGGCGUAAAGCGCGCGUAGGUGGCUUGAUAAGCCGGUUGUGAAAGCCCCGGGCUCAACCUGGGAACGGCAUCCGGAACUGUCAAGCUAGAGUGCAGGAGAGGAAGGUAGAAUUCCCGGUGUAGCGGUGAAAUGCGUAGAGAUCGGGAGGAAUACCAGUGGCGAAGGCGGCCUUCUGGACUGACACUGACACUGAGGUGCGAAAGCGUGUGUAGCAAACA
This 427-nucleotide ribosomal RNA is filed under the name uncultured Halomonas sp. RNAcentral's name for it is "bacterial SSU rRNA". It matches the Rfam family "Bacterial small subunit ribosomal RNA", at positions 355 to 774 of the family's 1533-position model. Lineage: Bacteria; Pseudomonadati; Pseudomonadota; Gammaproteobacteria; Oceanospirillales; Halomonadaceae. The record is from RNAcentral.